RNAcentral lists this ribosomal RNA (557 nucleotides) under Escherichia coli. Its description in RNAcentral is "partial 23S ribosomal RNA". It matches the Rfam family "Bacterial large subunit ribosomal RNA", at positions 757 to 1310 of the family's 2925-position model. Lineage: Bacteria; Pseudomonadati; Pseudomonadota; Gammaproteobacteria; Enterobacterales; Enterobacteriaceae. The record is from RNAcentral.
UAACACUAACUGGAGGACCGAACCGACUAAUGUUGAAAAAUUAGCGGAUGACUUGUGGCUGGGGGUGAAAGGCCAAUCAAACCGGGAGAUAGCUGGUUCUCCCCGAAAGCUAUUUAGGUAGCGCCUCGUGAAUUCAUCUCCGGGGGUAGAGCACUGUUUCGGCAAGGGGGUCAUCCCGACUUACCAACCCGAUGCAAACUGCGAAUACCGGAGAAUGUUAUCACGGGAGACACACGGCGGGUGCUAACGUCCGUCGUGAAGAGGGAAACAACCCAGACCGCCAGCUAAGGUCCCAAAGUCAUGGUUAAGUGGGAAACGAUGUGGGAAGGCCCAGACAGCCAGGAUGUUGGCUUAGAAGCAGCCAUCAUUUAAAGAAAGCGUAAUAGCUCACUGGUCGAGUCGGCCUGCGCGGAAGAUGUAACGGGGCUAAACCAUGCACCGAAGCUGCGGCAGCGACGCUUAUGCGUUGUUGGGUAGGGGAGCGUUCUGUAAGCCUGUGAAGGUGGCCUGUGAGGGUUGCUGGAGGUAUCAGAAGUGCGAAUGCUGACAUAAGUAAC